GAUUUUGUCAGCCCUGACUUUCCAGGACUCGUGAUAGAACAUAAUUGCCAGUGGGGAACUUGAGGCUCAUUCUUCAUAGAGAACCAGCAGGUGAAAGAAGAGCAGUAACUUACGUAACUCCUUCUGCAGAAAAUUCUUUUAAGUGCCUGGUCCAAAAUUCAGAGGUGGUAGUCAAUGCAUGCUUAGGGAACCAAUUCAGUCAAAGUUUGCUACGUAACACUGGGAACAAAUAGUAUUGCAAACUGUGUAAAGGGACGCAGAACAUUGUACAAUAUGCACCAGAAGUUUUUGUUGUAUUUUUUAAUGUUGCUCCAACUGUAAUAUCACUGCUUAGACUAAGACAGUGAAAUUAAUUGAUUUACUUUCAGGAGCAUAGUUGCAAAGUUGUUUGUAAAACUAUACGAGCAUAUGGACUAGCUAAUCCCUCCAUGCCUAAAUUUAAUUCUAGUCAAUAAUAAUAACAAUAGCUAUGUCAUUGAAUCCUCACAACAAUCUUAUGAGACUGGUCCCUGAGUGCUCCAAGGACCCAUGCAUCUAGUCACAAAGGUUGCUGGGAGUAUCCUCCAUCUUGGCCUUAAAGGGCUCCCUUUCAGCUUCCUGGAUUAAUAUCUGUCUCUCUGGGAACUGAUUUCCCAUAUUCCCAAAGCCAUAGCCAGCUCCCAGCUUCAUCAUUCAGGAAAAAGAGCAAGCGUCUCCCCUCCAUCCUCCCCAUCUCCCACAGUACAUUAAGUACAAGCCCCAGGAGAAGAAUCAAGAGCAAUGAAUCUUCAUCAAA
Molecule: non-coding RNA, 775 nt
Organism: Saimiri boliviensis boliviensis (Bolivian squirrel monkey)
Lineage: Eukaryota; Metazoa; Chordata; Mammalia; Primates; Cebidae
Source: RefSeq, a predicted model, not a curated record